UUCAUUAGUCAAUGCUUGAAAGAACAUUUCCAUUUCCUUUUGAGUACGUACCCUUUUAUACAUUUCUUAUGAAACCACCUUGGACAGAAGUCACACCCCACCCACUUGGCUUCUUGACCAUCUAUAAAAUAAUGGUUCUUUACAUACAUGGCACCUUGACUCGUCAAUCUUAGUGCGUUUUCUUUUUGACUUUGGCUGGUGAUCAUCCUCCAAGGCUGUAAUUGUUAAACACCCUUGAAGUUUGUUUGCAGCUUGUACCAAGGGAUCUGUAGGUGGUCGUACACGCUUCCUUCUUGCUGACCGUUUUGCUCUGGUUUGCUUCACAAUGAGUUUGGACUGGGUGUCAGAAUCUAGAGUAUCCUCUACCCGGAGAGAAUUCGUUUGAAUUCUAUCAGAGCCAGCAAAAUUUAAUUGAAGUUUAUGACACCGUUUUCUUCACUCGGCCUCUCCUAGAAUUUCAGUGCUCCCUUGCGAACCACUCAUGGGUUUCCUUCCAGGGUUUUAGUGAAACAUACAAUGACACUCAUUCUCUCAACAAGGACCAAGCCAUGACAGAAAAGAUUGCAGCAGAUGCAUUCUACAAUGGAGAGAUUGAGAAUGAAAUUAGGUUUCUUGUACUAGCAACCAAUCCUACUUUUUCCCUAACCUUCAAACGAGACAGUGACAGAGAGGAAACAAUGGAAAUGAUUGAAACAAUUCGCUCAUGCAGUAUAU
This is a long non-coding RNA of Halichondria panicea, 714 nucleotides long. RefSeq lists it as uncharacterized. Lineage: Eukaryota; Metazoa; Porifera; Demospongiae; Suberitida; Halichondriidae. The transcript is spliced from 3 exons. The record is from RefSeq and is a predicted model, not a curated record.